UCGGCGGUGCAUUUUGUUUCGAUGCUAUAGGUAGCUGCUUGCGCUUACUUCACUUCAGUGCAGUGCAGACGGUCUACUUUGUAUGCUGGAUCGGGAAUUCGACAACGGACAACAUGAUCUGACUGUGAAUUUGUUUCGGAAAUAUUCUUGUCAAAAUGUCGACUGCAAACUUAACUGAUCUAGAGUGUGAACUUACACAAUGUGGAGAGGAUACGUGUAGAAAUAGAUAUUGGUAUGUUUUCUUGAGUUCCAGUUUGAUAACUUUUUUUGGCGGCUUGUUGGGAAUUUUGGUUGUUCGACUAGCGGUGCUACUAGGAUGCAGGCGUCGGGUGUCGGACAGCCACCGGGCCAUCUCCACGAGCAAUGUGGCGAUGGAGCGCCCGGGGAUGAUGCAGAAUAAUGAAGACGUCCCAUGGAUGACAGCAAUUCGUGAAUAUUCGGCGAGUUUGAUAUCUGCCCAAACGAAGAUUGGAAAGUGCCUGCUGGUCGUUCAUUUUUCCCUUAGUAUGGGUUCCCUUAUCUGCUAUAUACUUGACACCACCAAGUGAUUUUGUCAUUCACUGUGAGCUUGGGCUCCUUCGUCAUAUACAUUCUUCAGCUUGACGAGUAAGUGUCUCGCGAUGUCGAGAGAUUGAAGUGCCUUAACGACUUCCUUUAAUACUCAUCAGAGUGUUGUGCUAUUCGUUUUUCUCCCUCAUGAUCUAAUUUUAAUUCAUUCAUUUCAACGUAGUUUCACUGCUUCAUCUUUCUGUUUGUUGUGAUGGAUCUAGAUGACAUCUCUGAACUAUUAACCCGUUAGCUACUGAAUUAUCUAAUUCCCAUAGGCUUAACACAGGGACCACCAGGUUCCAGUAAGCAAUGGGUUAACAUAAAUGCCACUCGAAACUGUUUUUGAAAUAGGCACUAACUAAUUUUCGAGGGGUUUAUUCUAAAGUAUGAAACUCUUUUUUCACUAUAUAUACUGAUCAAAAACAGUAUCGUUACCAAAUGAGCUUUAAAAUAGACUUUCAUGAAUCGAAUAUGAAUAGGCACUAACUGAUUUUCAAGGGUUUAUUCUAAAGUAUGAUGCUCUUUUUUCACUACCAGUAUUUAUACUGAUCAAAAUCGUUGUUGUUUCCAAAUGAGCUUCAAAAUAGACUUUCUGGAAUCAAAUUUGAUUUUAAAAAACUUCAUUAUUUCAGUGUUCAGAUGAUUAAAAGAAUAUUGAUCAAAAGCUAAAUGAAAAAUGGGAAGGAACCAUUUUUGAUUCCUGGAAACAAAAUGGCUUUUUUCACUUAGGACAUAAAUUGUACAUUAAACCAGGGACAUGAUAGAGAAAUUUUGGCAAACUUCUGGCACAUGCAUUGCUUAAAGGUUGCUUAAAUAAAGAACACUCACAAUCAAUAUGCCAAUCAAACAACUUUUAUUUUCUUUUACUUUCUUAUAUAUUAGAAAUUUAUGCAGCCAAAUGCACAUUUUAUUGCAAGAAUAGUAAAUAUACAUGUACAAUUCAUAGACAUGUUUAAGAUUUGAAGUUUUAAAGGAUUUUAGUAUUAGAGAUUUUUUUUGGUGAGAACAGGAAUUGUUGGGGAACAAAACUUAAUUCUUUUUUCUUAUUAGAGAAUGUAAAUACAUUCAAGACAGAAAGGUGAAGCAGAAGGAACAGAAAAUUCAUUCCAUAUUCGUUCAUUUCCACAGUGAUGUCGCCUUCAUUUGAUCAUUUAUUUAUCCAACAAUUGCUGUAAUGUGCUGAGAAUGAAUGUUUUAUUAUUAUAGUGACAAGUCUGUAAAGGGCUGCAUAAUGCUUCAAUAUUAUAUGACUAUUAUAGGCUGAGUACCCAUGGCCCUUUGCGAUUAUCUUUCAUUUUAUUACAGCCUUAUAAUUUUAUCUUUAUAUGUCAUCUUUAUUUUAAAUAUAAUUUCAGAAAAAUGUUUUUCCACAUUUACUCCCAAUAUAUCUGUAUUAACCUACCCUUCAUUUUAUGGAAGCUAAACCUGAUUUGUUAAUUUAAAUAAGAAUUUUAAAAAUAUUUUGAUAGCAGCAGGUUUGAUAAAUAGUGAAGUUGUAAUUUUGCUAUAAACUGUUUAAGUCUGAUAUUCAUAUAUGUCUUGAAAAUUGACAUUGUUUGAAAACCAUGAUGAUAUAAAUAUUCUAUUUAGCAACAGGAAAAGUGGGGUUUUGCACUUCUAUUAAACAGGACACAUUUUCCUUCAAUUUACUGUAAUAAUGUUAAUUUCAAAUUCUUUAAGAAAGAUGUCAUUUUCUGUGUGAAAUAGAUAUGACUUUAAUAUUGCUUGAAAACAAGAAAAUUACAAAUGACAGAUGCACCUCACAUUGUUGGCAUUAUGUCAAAAUUUGCUGAUUUCCUGUGUCUCAUUGGGUGAUAUACUGCAUUCCCUCCGAUAUUGAGGGGCACAUAAAUGAAGAUAGGUUGAAUUUAUGAAUUCUCUAUUGAAAGGAGCUACAAGAAGUAAAGUUAAAAGAUAAAAAGCAUUGAAGGCACACCUAACAUUUUUAAGUGAAAUAUGACAGGGGUUAUAAAUCUGUUUUGAAAAAUUAAGAAGCAAAACAAAAAUUGUUUAGCAUUUACAUGCAUUUGUCAAAAAAACAGAAGGCUUGCCUCCUGUUUUGAUAACACACAGACCAAAAUUGUAAAUUAUCCUUAAAAACAAAAAAGAAGCAUUUUUCCCCAGGGGUACUCACGUUGUGAUGUAUUAUCGUAACAAUAGCAAAACGUGAGUAGCCUUUAAAUACAUUUCCCUUAAAAUGUGUUACUUGUAUGAACAGACGAAAACAGCUACAUGGUCAUUAUGUGAUUCUGUUUUUCCUGGAAUCCUGACUGUGUUUAAUAAAACAUGUACUACGUUGUGAGCUUUGAGCAUUGUUGUUUAAUACAUUUCUUUUUUUAAGUUAACCCUUUGGACAAUGUGAUAAAAGCUUUUAAGUUUUGAUGUCCUUGGUUAGCGUCUCAGGAUACAGGGUCUUAGGAUUACAGCUCUUGCAUAACGCAGAUUGUGCUUUUUGUGUGGAAGUGUGAUAUAACAGUUCACUCACUCGGCACUCAAUCCAAGGGUGGAGGGUUCUAAAUCCAGUCCGUCUUGACAUUUAAAGGGAUCAUUUAACAAUGCUAAAUCUGAGAUACACUGCCCUAUGUGUUA
This is a long non-coding RNA of Strongylocentrotus purpuratus (purple sea urchin), 3138 nucleotides long. RefSeq lists it as uncharacterized. The record is from RefSeq and is a predicted model, not a curated record. NCBI's taxonomy places the organism in Eukaryota, Metazoa, Echinodermata, Echinoidea, Camarodonta, Strongylocentrotidae. The transcript has 3 exons.